GAUGAAGAACGCAGCGAAAUGCGAUACAUAAUGUGAAUUGCAAAUUCAGUGAAUCAUCGAGUCUUUGAACGCACAUUGCGCCCCCUGGUAUUCCGGGGGGCAUGCCUGUCCGAGCGUCAUUGCUGCCCUCAAGCACGGCUUGUGUGUUGGGCCCCGUCCUCCGAUCCCGGGGGACGGGCCCGAAAGGCAGCGGCGGCACCGCGUCCGGUCCUCGAGCGUAUGGGGCUUUGUCACCCGCUCUGUAGGCCCGGCCGGCGCUUGCCGAUCAACCCAAAUUUUUUAUCCAGGUUGACCUCGGAUCAGGUAGGGAUACCCGCUGAACUUAAGCAUAUCAAUAAGCGGAGGA
This 346-nucleotide unclassified non-coding RNA is filed under the name soil metagenome. RNAcentral's name for it is "partial contains 5.8S ribosomal RNA, internal transcribed spacer 2, and large subunit ribosomal RNA". The stretch from base 1 to 119 matches the Rfam family "5.8S ribosomal RNA", at positions 35 to 154 of the family's 154-position model. The record is from RNAcentral.